GCUGGCGGCAUGGCUAAGACAUGCAAGUCGUACGGACCGUUUAGUGCUUGCAUUGGACGGUUAGUGGCGAAAGGGUGAGUAAUACAUGGGUAACGUACCCCGGACUCGAGGAUAACAGCGGGAGCAAUCCCUUUAGCGAAAGUGCUGCUAAUACUCGACGAUGUCACCGGAUCGCAUGGUCUGGUGACCGAAGGUGGGGACCUUC
This 205-nucleotide ribosomal RNA is filed under the name uncultured bacterium. Its description in RNAcentral is "partial 16S ribosomal RNA". It matches the Rfam family "Bacterial small subunit ribosomal RNA", at positions 35 to 212 of the family's 1533-position model. The record is from RNAcentral.